Molecule: long non-coding RNA, 1747 nt
Organism: Homo sapiens (human)
Lineage: Eukaryota; Metazoa; Chordata; Mammalia; Primates; Hominidae
Source: Ensembl
GACCGCCAGAGCGCUUGGUGGGUGACUCGGCGGACAAAGGGCUCUGUGCACCCGCCUCUGCUGUCCUGGCUGGGCCUCACACACAAUGGAAGGACCUUUCGAAGCUGCACCCAGCCUGCCCCCUCCCUCAGCAAGAGACACCCAGAGAUGCAGCUGAGCUCAGUCUCAGAGCAGGCCCCCUCCCUGCUCAAAAGGUCCACAGAGAGGAGAUGCAGACUCAGAAGUGUGGUAUGCAAAACUUCCCAACUCAGGCCCCAUUCUUUGUGUCUGGCUUCAAUUUCUGCCUCAAAUCCAUGCGCUAAAGCUUGGCCAGAUGAAGUGGGGAUCUGCCCUCCAGACACAUGGUCACGUGGGCAGCCCUUCUGAGACUGGAACAGCUGAGACCCUGCCUUGAUCGCAAGACACAGGCACUGAGGGUCUCCUUCCCCACCCAACUUCACACACACACACACACACACACACACACACACACACACACUCUUAGGCCGCCACCAGGGAGCCCACUGGGCUUGCAAUGGUGUGUGUUAGUACCAUGGACAGUGCUGGGAGAGGGCAGGCUCUGAAGGCUGUGAAAUCCACUGACUCAGGGGCAUGCAUGUGUUUCAUACAGCAGGCAUUUGUUGAGCACCAGCUGCAUGCCCCACCCCUGCUGGGUGUUAUGGAAAAUUCCAGAGGAAAAGACAUGUCACUGCCCCCAGGGGCCUUAACAGCCUGGCUGGGGAACAGAUAGCCCUGCCACCAACCUCCCACCUACCUCCCUGCAGACUGCCACAGCCAUUUGUACAAACCACAAAUUUGACCAUAUCUCUCCCCCCUUUUUUUCUCUUGAGAUGGAGUCUUAAUACAUCACCCAGGCUGGAGUGCAGUGGCAUGAUCUCGGCUCACUGCAACCUCCGUCUCCUGGGUUCAAGUGAUUCUCCUACCUCAGCCUUCCCCCCAAGUAGCUGGGAUUAUAUGUACACGCCACCACGCCCAGCUAAUUUUUGUAUUUUUUGGUAGAAACAGGGUUUCACCUUGUUGGCCCGGCUGAUCUCAAACUCGUGACUGCAGGUGAUCCACCGCUUCGGCCUCCCAAACUGCUGGGAUUACAGGCAUGAGCCACCGCUCCUGGCCCCAUAUCUCUCUCUCAAAAGCUCCAUGGGACACACACACACACACACACACACACACACACACACACUCAUACACACACACAUACAUGCACAUCAAUUGCUUAUAAGAUGAUAAACUCCAAACCAUUAAGCAUGUUAGUCAAGGCCCUUUCUGACCCAGCAGGCCCAGCCACCCUCCUGCCCUCACCACCAUCCCCACCCUCAUGAGCCCAAUACUCCAGCCCUACUUGACUUCCUUCAUUCCCCAGACAUGCAAGGGCGCUUUUCUCAUUUUUGUCCCCUAAUCUAGAGAGUAUUUGCCCUUCUUCUUUUUCACAGAGAACUCCCACAUAGACUUCAAAACUCAAACCAAAUAUUUCCUCCUCCAGGAAGCCGCAAAGUUAGUUGUUCCCUCCUCUGCAUGCCAAGAGGCCUUGUACCUGUCUCUAUGUCACUUGGCAUAUUGAAUUCUGAAUUACCAUGCAUCCCUCAUGUCAAACAGAAGUUAGCUAUAUUUGUCUAGGCCUCUUAGGAAAGGCGUGGUGGUUGCCAGAAGUGGAGGGGCUUUCUAAGAACUGUAACUCAUUAAUCACUAUGUCAGUAAUAGUUGUAUUUGACAACUUCAGAUUUUCUGGAAGCCUAAAAAUAAUGUCAAA